Molecule: long non-coding RNA, 237 nt
Filed under: Elaeis guineensis (African oil palm)
Lineage: Eukaryota; Viridiplantae; Streptophyta; Magnoliopsida; Arecales; Arecaceae
Description: long non-coding RNA (EGUI_LNC068142)
Source: RNAcentral
AGAUGUAAAGGGAGUUAGAAAUAGAUUAGGAGAUAGGAGUCCAAAAAGCCUUGGACUCUAUCCCUUUUGUGCCACCCACUAUCUAUCCAUGUGCACCCAUAUUCUUCACAAGAGAAAGGGGGUAUCUUAACUUUCUUACAUGCUAAUAAGGAAGGGGAGAGGUGGCGUCAAUCUGGUUUGGGCGUGGGUUUAAUGUGGCGCACAAAUACAAGGUCAAUGUGGAGUCCUUUUGGUGCA